This 337-nucleotide long non-coding RNA is filed under the name Homo sapiens (human). RNAcentral's name for it is "HSALNT0081847". Lineage: Eukaryota; Metazoa; Chordata; Mammalia; Primates; Hominidae. The record is from RNAcentral.
UCCAGCGUGUUGGAUCUCUUGGGUCCUCCUGUAGAUUAUUUUUAGAGUCUUCUAAAGUCUUCUAAAUCAUUGAGAUGAAGUCUCUUUCCUAUUUUCUGUAGCUUUACAAAAAACUACCUCCCAGACCCCGCCCCGCCCCAUAGAGUUUUUCCUCCCUUAUUUACUCAUCCUUAAAGGAAGUGACAUCUGUAGAGAGCCAGUGCUUGUUAAGAGCGAGGGUGAGCUCAUCAUCGAGGUCCGGUCCUCCUGUGUGGAGUCCUAUCCUGGUGCUCUCGGGGUAGGACAGGGUUUUUGAGGAUUAUAAUGAAUAAAACAGAACCAGAGAAGUUACGAAGCA